CAUUACCGAGUUUCCAAAACUCCCAAACCCACUGUGAACCUUACCAUAACGUUGCUUCGGCGGGACAGCCCCGGGCCCCCGCGCCCGGAACCAGGCGCCCGCCGGAGGCCCCAACAAACUCUCGUGUCUACCCCAGCGGCAUCUACGUCUGAGUGGCCCCGAAAGGGCAAGCAAAUGAAUCAAAACUUUCAACAACGGAUCUCUUGGUUCUGGCAUCGAUGAAGAACGCAGCGAAAUGCGAUAAGUAAUGUGAAUUGCAGAAUUCAGUGAAUCAUCGAAUCUUUGAACGCACAUUGCGCCCGCCAGUAUUCUGGCGGGCAUGCCUGUCCGAGCGUCAUUUCAACCCUCGAUGCCCCCCCGGGGGCGCCGGUGUUGGGGGACGGCCCGCCGCCCAGAGCGGAUGGCCGCCCCCGAAAUGCAGUGGCGACCCCGCCGCAGCCUCCCCUGCGUAGUAGCUACAUACUGAAACCUCGCACCGGAGAGCGGCGCGGCUCUGCCGUUAAACCCCAACUCACGAAAGGUUGA
Molecule: ribosomal RNA, 525 nt
Filed under: Hypomyces subiculosus
Lineage: Eukaryota; Fungi; Ascomycota; Sordariomycetes; Hypocreales; Hypocreaceae
Description: eukaryotic LSU rRNA
Rfam family: 5.8S ribosomal RNA (bases 184-337)
Source: RNAcentral